This 72-nucleotide transfer RNA is filed under the name Phrynosoma platyrhinos (Desert horned lizard). Its description in RNAcentral is "tRNA-OTHER". It matches the Rfam family "tRNA". From Rfam's summary of the family: Transfer RNA (tRNA) molecules are approximately 80 nucleotides in length. Their secondary structure includes four short double-helical elements and three loops (D, anti-codon, and T loops). Further hydrogen bonds mediate the characteristic L-shaped molecular structure. tRNAs have two regions of fundamental functional importance: the anti-codon, which is responsible for specific mRNA codon recognition, and the 3' end, to which the tRNAs corresponding amino acid is attached (by aminoacyl-tRNA synthetases). tRNAs cope with the degeneracy of the genetic code in two manners: having more than one tRNA (with a specific anti-codon) for a particular amino acid; and 'wobble' base-pairing, i.e. permitting non-standard base-pairing at the 3rd anti-codon position. The record is from RNAcentral. Lineage: Eukaryota; Metazoa; Chordata; Lepidosauria; Squamata; Phrynosomatidae.
ACCAGUGUGGCGUAGUGGUUUGAGCAUUGGACUUUGACUCUGGAGACCAGGGUUCGAAUCCCAGCUCAGCCA